GUGAAUUAAACAUGCUUGGUGUCUUCGCUUCGGCAAGGCCCUUGCUUAAAUCACAUCCUAACACCUGUGAACUGUAAGACGUAUGAUGAGGUCUUUGGCCAAGUCAUCGUCUGCCCAUUUUUAACAAACAAUUAAUGUAACAAACGUAGUCUUAUUAUAACCUAAUA
RNAcentral lists this unclassified non-coding RNA (167 nucleotides) under uncultured fungus. RNAcentral describes it as "sequence contains ITS1, 5.8S rRNA gene". The record is from RNAcentral. Lineage: Eukaryota; Fungi. RNAcentral also lists the same sequence under 2 other names.